CUCUCUCUCUCUCUCUCUCCCUCCCUCUCUCUCUCCCUCCCUCCCUCAUCCCACUUCUCUUUCAUAUGUACCUACCUCUAGAGGAUGCUCUGACCAUUAUAAAACCCUGGGUCCUCUUUCUUUCCACAGAUAUUAGAAGGUCUUUUGGGGGGUAUAAAGCAAAAUGCUCACUGACCUUGUUUCUAGUACACCUGUCCACAUUUGGCAAGGGGACAGUAUCAGUCUUUACUAUGUGCCAGGCUCUAUGCUGGCUAACCUCUCCCAUUAAAUCACCAGUGUGCACUAGUCUCUUGGGGCUUUCUGAACCUCAGGUUUUAGCAGGGACCAGGGGCAGGGUGCAGGUCAGGUGACACUUUCACAGUUACAUUCUUAGUGAGCAACAGAGGUAGAGGGAGAUUCAGCCCUCGGAAGAUGCCUCUGGGUUGUGUGUUUUCCAGACUGCCCUCUGCAGAGUGGGCCAGAGAGGAGACUGGUGGAGCUGUGCUGUGGUCAGUGAGGAUUGUUGGCAUUUUUCUGUCAGAGAACUUUUCUUGUUUCAGUCCAUUUACUUUGGUGUCAUUAAGAUUAUGACUAUUGUUUUUAUUGGUGCCAUCCAGAGCCAAUCCCUUCUGUUGGUGACAUCCCUGUUAUAUGGGGGUAGCCUUGCAGGGUGUACUGCUGCUGGGGACAAGCCACACUUCCCUGUGGACCUCAGUAGUUGCUCUAAGAAAAAUAACAAGUUGAUAGAAUGCCUUUGAAGUUUUAUUUUCAGAGCUCAUUUAGAAUUAGAAUUAAUGUACUGAGCAAGUCUUAACACACAUGUGCACACCACACUGGCAUGGUAGCUUUUCCAAGUGCCAAACAGUAAGAUGAUUAAAAAAAAAAGAACUCUUAACAUAAUGGUUAUUUUGAUAAGACAGGAAUAGAGUUGAUUCUGUGAAUAUUUAGGCUAAUCAGUGCAAAAACAUAGCUGUCCCUGUGUCCUGGCUCCUCCAAAAAUGGGUAGAGAAUGGCAGUCUCUCUUCCUAUAUCCCAUAUUAAAUUCUGGAUCCAGAAUUCGAACCUAUGUGUCUGGACAGAGACUUCUGUUGUUAACUUUUUACUUGGUCAGAUUUGGUCUCUGUUAAGUGUCAUCAUUGUAAAUAAAGGUAGUUCCAGAUGCCUGGACUGAGUUAGGAAGUUAAAUUGGGUCACUGUGUAGAAUUCAGGGUGGCCUCGCUCUGUACAUUGUGCAAAUAAGGUCUCAGCAGGGUGAGCGUGGCCCAGUGUGUGGUUCUCUGGAGGCUGGACAUUCCCUGAGAAGGGUGGGUGGCUUCUUCUUGCCCAGAGUCUAGGUAAUGUUCACAUUUUGUAUCUGUCCAUACCAUCCUCUCCCACCAUGAUUGUGGUUUACCACACAGUGUGGCUCCAAACUUCUGGAGCUAUGUGGCCUGGGAACAGAUAUUGCCUAAGAAUCAGAGUUGAUGGUUUCCAAGGAGAGAGAUGACCUGGGCCUUCCCAUAGGAAAUCACGAGGAAGCCGAGAACAAGGCAAUACAGUCUUCUGUGGGUCUCUAAGUCCCGACUGUCUCUUUGCCCCCGUCCCUCUGGAUGACACCCACUAGGACUGCAGGCAUUGGCAAUGGGGAUAGCUGGAACAGUUAGGAGCUUCAUCACUGUUGUGCUGUUGAGCCAAAUCUGUUCCUAGAUGUUCGCACCUCCCUGUUCUCUCACUUGGCGGCAGGUAUUCACAGCUCUCCAGGCACCCUCUCUAGAGCAGCAUGGAGUGCCAGCUCUCUCCAUCAGCUCUGUGGUAAGGUGGGCCAGAAAGGAGGAGAAACAGCAGAUGUCCAAGGCAAGCAUCAUAUGACAUACCCAGGUGCUCCCCUCCCUGGUCUCUCACCAGUAUUGCCCCGUGCUUGCUUCCGUGAGUCCAAAUGCACCAGGCUUUAAAUGUCUGUGGGCACAGAACUAACUGUCACGUCCUUUUGAGUCUCAUUCCUCAGGGACAUUGCAAGCCAACACACUUAAUUGUGCCUACCACACUGCCUAGAUUCUCCAUGCCAGCGUGUGUCUAUGUUAAUGGAUCCACUAAGUUCUCAAGGUGAGGAGACUGAAGAUAGUCUCAGUUGUGGGAUGAGAGAUGGAGACAAGGUUGUAGGAGAGCCUGCUGAUGCUCUAUGAGCCUCAUGGUUGCAGCAGAUAUCUCUUCCACUAUCCAGGGAAGCAGUUUUGAGGCCCCAGCAGGGCACUGUGACCUUCUUGCCUGGGGUGCUCUUUUCUGAUCCUUCCCAGGUUGAGUUUUAUUUAGUGCAGCAGUUUUCAACCUGUGGGUCAUGACCCCUUUGGGGAUGAAGGACCCUUUCACAGGGGCAUGCAUAUCAGGUAUUCUGCAUAUCCAAUAUUGACAUGACAAUUCAUAACAGUAGCAAAAUUACAGUUUUGAAGUAGCAACAAAAAAUUUUAUGGUUGGGGGGUCACCACAACAUGAGGAACUGUAUGGAAGGGUCACAUAGGAAGGUUGAGAACCACUGAUCUAAAGUCUCUUGUGUCCCUGAACCAGAAUUUGACUGGCUCUGCAACAAAGGUGAGGAGGGAAGGCUUAUGUACUUAUAUAUCAUUUCUGCCCCAGGGUUGAACUAUAAUCAGGGACAGAUUGGGGCACAAAGAAAGAGGCUGAGAGGCCAGACAUGCGAGGCAAUGGCCAGGAAGACCAUGGACACCAAGACAGAUGGAGCAUGGAAGCUCUUUCUCAUUCUUCUACAAACUCAUGUUGUGGUCACUGAACUGUUGCUACUUGGGCAAUCAUGGGGAGUUUCUUAGGGGUUAUUCCAGAGAAAUAGAAUGGGUAGGAUAUGUGCCUAGACAUGUAGUUUAUCCUUGGUUUGGGAGGUUCAACUUGACGGGCUUUUGGAUUUGAGAUGGUGUGGAAGUAUACCUGCACAGCUGCUUGGCUCUUCCUUUUCUUCUCUUCACACAACCUGAACUGCCAACCUCUUCUUACACCAUCAGUUUGUGAUUUUCCUCAGGUGUAGGCUGAGGUAAGUGUUUUGAUUAGGGUGGGAGAGGCUAAGAUACAAGGUCAGAGGGUCAGGUGUAUGCCACGCAUUUUCAGUUUAUGGCAUUUUCAAUCUGACAAAGCUUGAUUGGGUUGAAAAGCUUUGUAUCUGGAAAGUGACUUAUUCUAGGAACUGGUUUGUGCAGUUAUGCAGAUGGGUAAGUCCACAGUGCUCCUAGUGGCCUGGCAGAAGAGCCAAGACUGCAGGCUGGGUCAGGUCAUCUGCUGUGAAUCCCUCUUGUUCCAAGGACCUGGGACUCUGUUCUAUGCAGGCCUUCAACUGUGCCAUGAUUUGCGUAUGAAAUUUGUACUGCUCUUUACUCUCUAGUGUGAGGUAUAGAAGUGGGAAAUCCCCUCCAUUGUGGUGUCUACAUGGCAGCCUCAGGAACGACUAGGACUAGGUCAUCAGGUUGAAGCCCAAGAGUGAGUCCUGGUGGUUUCAUAGGAAAAGGGAAAGACACGAGAAGGUGUGUAUAAGCUCUCCAUUCCUCACCAUCCUCAUCACCUUGAGAUUUUUGCCAGCAAGAAGCCAUCGCCGGAUGUAACCCUUGACCUUUCACCUCCAUAACCAUGAGUCAAACUUCUUUUCUUUAGGGAGCUACCUGGUCUGUGGUAUUGUGUCACUAAGAGCAGGAAGGGACUAUCUGGAGGAGGCCACCACCUUGGGGAGGGUCACCUCCUUUGCUCACUGUUCACUGAGUUAAUGUUAAACUUGUCUACAUCAGUAACUCUUCUGGUUGCUGGGAUAUCUGACAGGGAGUGACGUGGCCUGGAGGGGAUACAGUUCACCGUACAGAGGGAGACACGGUGACACCUGGCUUGCUCUUGGCAGAGGCAUAGACAAGGGGGUUCUCACCUCUUCACACCGUGGAGGAACAGGAAUCAGAGAGUGGUCAGGGCAUAUGACCAAGCUCUAGACUCUCAUUUAACCCCCCUGCCCCCUCCCCAUGACUCACAUCCUCACUCUGGCUGGUAGCGCUCUUUCCCAAGGUUGUGGAUCUUUCAGGAGGUAGGGUUUGGCUGGAGAAAGUGAGUCCACAAGACUGUGCAGCCUCAUGACCCUGGAGUUCUAUGCCAGUGGAUGACCAAGAUGUAUCCUAUAAGGAACCUGCCAGUGGAGGACCACAUCAGACAUGAACCACACAUUGGCUGUUGAUGAACACGCAGGAUCAGAGGAUGGUGUCACUCUGAGAUGGGGAGUUGUGUGCAACGCUACAUCAGCCGGCAGAGUAAUUCUGCUGAUAUUUUUGGUCAAACGUUGUUCUGAAUGUUUCUGUGAGGUGGAUGUUUUAGGUGUUGUGUGUUUUUAAUUGUUUUGGUGUACAUGCAUGUGGUAUGUCUAUAUGUCCAUGUGUGUGUGUGUGUGUGUGUGUGUGUGUGUGUGUGUGUAUGUAUGUAUGUAGAGACUGCAUGUUGACCUCAGGUACCCUUCUCUGUCACUCCAUCUUACAUCGCUCAGUUGAACUGGCCGAUUUGGCUAGUCUCAGCUAGUUGGCUCACCGUGGGACUCCCCUGUCUCUGGGGUCCAAACAGCGACAUUCUAGGUGAGCCAGCCCUCCUGACAUUUGCAUGGGUUUUUGGGAAUCUGAACUUCCAGUCCUCACAUUUAUACAGCAGGCAGUUUACUCCCCGUGGGAUCCCCCAGCCCUUCCUGUGGUUUGAAUGUGAAAUGUCCCCAGAGGCUCAUGUGUUUCAAGACGCUGCAGCCUGGAGAUAACCUGAGGGAGGCUGCGGGGAGGUGUGCCACAGAGUUGGAGAGGACUCAGAGGUAGUGAAAGGUGUAAGGAACAAGCCAAGGAGGCAUGGAGGCAACGUAUGUGGGACUCCUCCAGGUCCAGGGCUUCAGUCUCCAAAAGAAACCUAUUUCUACCCUCCCACCAUCUCCUGAGGCAGCAGCUGAUCUGUGUAGGAACCCUUGGCCUGAGUUCCCCCUAUAGAGACGGGGCUGUGUUCCUUUCUUCUCAGUGCUCACUGUCUGCAGGUUCCUGUUCUUUUUCUGUGCAUGUGGGUGGAUGCACAGUGUCCUUCCCAUCAUUGGCUGCAUUUCCUUUCAGAACCAUCACUCACACACGUAGUAAUUUAGACCCUUCUCUCCGAAGGAUGGCAGUGCCCCACCAUGAUGCCAACCGGUGCUUCCUCCCGCAGAGGAAGAGGUUCUUAGGUCCUGCAUUUGAGUGGCCUUCCCAAGGACUCGAGGACUGCAGGAGACUUUCAGGACCUGGAAAUGCCACUGUCAUCUGGUGGACAGGAGCCUGAAGCCCAGUUAGAAGAGCCACAGUACCAAGACAGCCUCACAAUCAAGACCUGUCUGGGGAAAAGCACCAAUAAGGAGCCAGGUUGACUCUGGCCAAAGGGGCAUGGAGAACCUUGUCCAUAGCACACUGUGACUUUAAGGAGUGAUCACGAAGGUGAGACGUGAUGGACAAAUGUCCCCAUAAGGACUGGAAACCACUCUGUCCUGGAGCAAUUGUUCUGCUCAGACCUCACAACCUUAAUGCUCACUCUGAAGCCAACCAUGGAGAAGCCCCCAGAAGACAGGAGACAUACAUGGGCCUGGAGGCAUCAGCAUGACUCUGGACAGAUGCAUGCUCCAGAUAAAACUGGAACGAGCUGCUUUAAACAUGUUGCUAUUAGAAAUAAACAGUUCAACGUCACAUAUUCUGUGUGCUCAGCACUGGUGCGUGGACCAUGGUUAUGUAGGAGGCUCCACUGCCAACAGACACUAUCACACUCUGCACAUUGAUUCCCCCAGGAGCUGGUUUUGCUCUGAACUGAAUGUCAUGCUCCUGCCCCAGCCCCUCUCCUGCGGAACCCCUGCAGGCCGUGUUUUUCUCCUUUUUCUGCUUCCACUGUGACCCCCAAGUCUGAGGCUGCACUGUCUCUGUAUGUGGGUUUGCUCCCUAGGGAUCACUCACUCACCAUGGGGUUCUGGACACUGCAGGAUAGCAAGAGAUCUUCCCGGCAGGGACCUGGGGGGAUACACAAGAGAAAGUUUGAUUCCCUGGUAGCCAGUCCCAUGCACUGAGGCCCAGAGGCCUUAGACUGGGUGGGUAGAAUGCAGGGCUGUGAGUGGAGGGGUCUGUUGAGGUAGAUUCAGAGCAACCACCACCCAGCAGUGAGUCAGGGUGAAGUGGCUGCUAAGUGUAUGUGUAUCUGUUUACAGUUUCCCUUUGUGAACCAAGUCUGGCAGACGACAGGUAUGGUUGGUUUGAUAGGCAGGAGUUGGCAUGGCUCUCAAAGGAACGCAGCCUUGUUCCUGCUUCGAGGCACUUCUCUUAUACCCUAUUUAUUAAAACGUAAGAAUUUAGUAUUUA
Peromyscus californicus insignis is the source of this 6329-nucleotide long non-coding RNA. RefSeq lists it as uncharacterized. The record is from RefSeq and is a predicted model, not a curated record. The transcript has 2 exons. NCBI's taxonomy places the organism in Eukaryota, Metazoa, Chordata, Mammalia, Rodentia, Cricetidae.